UACGUAGGGACCAAGCGUUGUUCGGAUUUACUAGGCGUAAAGGGCGCGUAGGCGGCGCGGUAAGUCACUUGUGAAAUCUCUGAGCUUAACUCAGAACGGCCAAGUGAUACUGCAGUGCUAGAGUGUGGAAGGGGCAAUCGGAAUUCUUGGUGUAGCGGUGAAAUUCGUAGAUAUUGGGAAGAACACCGAUGGCGAAGGCAGCCAUCUGGACCGACACUGACGCUGAGGCGCGAAAGCGUGGGGAGCAAACAGG
RNAcentral lists this ribosomal RNA (253 nucleotides) under uncultured bacterium. Its description in RNAcentral is "partial 16S ribosomal RNA". It matches the Rfam family "Bacterial small subunit ribosomal RNA", at positions 524 to 776 of the family's 1533-position model. The record is from RNAcentral.